AGAGUUUGAUCAUGGCUCAGGAUGAACGCGAGUCGGCSUGCCUAACACAUGCAAGUCGUAUGGGGCUUMGGCCCCAUGGCGUACGGGUGAGUAACACGUGGGCACCUGCCCCCAGAUACGGGUAUAAUGGAGGGAAACCUUCGGUAAUCCCCUAUAGGCGCAGGAAGUGCUUUGGAAAGUUCUAGCUGCUAGCUAGAGUGUCUGGGGAUGGGCCUGCGGCUGAUUAGCUAGUUGGUGCGGGUAAUGGCCUACCAAGGCGAGGAUCAGUAGCUGGCCUGAGAGGGCGGCCGGCCACAUUGGGACUGAGACACGGCCCAGACUCCUACGGGAGGCAGCAGUGGGGAAUCUUCUGCAAUGGGCGCAAGCCUGACAGUGCGACGCCGCGUGAAGGAAGAAGGCCACUUUCGGUCGUAAACUUCUUUGCACGGGCACAGGAAGACUGACCGCCCGGGAAGCAAGUAUCGGCUAACUCCGUGCCAGCAGCCGCGGUAAGACGGGGGAUGCAAGCGUUAUCCGGAUUUAUUGGGCGUAAAGCGUCUGUAGGUGGUUUGGUGUGUCUGCUGUCCAAACGCAGGGCUUAACUCUGUGGGGCAUGUGGAGACUAUCAGACUGGAGGCCGGUAGAGGUGGGGGGAAUCCCUCGAGGAGCAGUGAAAUGCUUAGAUACGUGGGAGAAGGCCGGAGGCGAAAGCUCCCCACUGGGCCGCGCCUGACACUGAGAGACGAAAGCUAGGGGAGCGAAUGGGAUUAGAGACCCCAGUAGUCCUAGCCGUAAACGAUGGGCACUCGAUGCUGCGCGUGGGACGCGCAGUAUCCCAGCUAACGCGAUAAGUGCCCCGCCUGAGGAGUACGCUUGCAAGGGUGAAACUCAAAGGAAUUGACGGGGGCUCGCACAAGCGGUGGAGCAUGUGGUUUAAUUCGAUGCAACGCGAAGAACCUUACCUGGGCUUGACAUGGUGCCUGCGCGCUCCUAACGGGGUUCCGCACUACGGGCACACACAGGUGGUGCACGGCUGUCGUC
Molecule: ribosomal RNA, 1020 nt
Filed under: uncultured bacterium
Lineage: Bacteria
Description: bacterial SSU rRNA
Rfam family: Bacterial small subunit ribosomal RNA
Source: RNAcentral